RNAcentral lists this unclassified non-coding RNA (310 nucleotides) under plant metagenome. RNAcentral describes it as "partial contains 5.8S ribosomal RNA, internal transcribed spacer 2, and large subunit ribosomal RNA". The stretch from base 1 to 105 matches the Rfam family "5.8S ribosomal RNA", at positions 50 to 154 of the family's 154-position model. The record is from RNAcentral.
GAAAUGCGAUAAGUAGUGUGAAUUGCAGAAUUCAGUGAAUCAUCGAAUCCUUGAACGCACAUUGCGCCCCUUGGUAUUCCAUGGGGCAUGCCUGUUCGAGCGUCAUUUGUACCCUCAAGCUCUGCUUGGUGUUGGGUGUUUGUCCCCGUCUCCGCGCGUGGACUCGCCCCAAAGUGAUUGGCAGCCGGCGUACUGGUCCCGGAGCGCAGCACAUGUCGCGCAAACGAGUGCCUUGGUACGGCGGCGUCCAUAAGCCCCUCUCUCACGCUCUUGACCUCGGAUCAGGUAGGGAUACCCGCUGAACUUAAGC